This 207-nucleotide ribosomal RNA is filed under the name uncultured bacterium. Its description in RNAcentral is "partial 16S ribosomal RNA". It matches the Rfam family "Bacterial small subunit ribosomal RNA", at positions 568 to 774 of the family's 1533-position model. The record is from RNAcentral.
CGCGUAGGCGGAUAGUUUAGUCAGAGGUGAAAGCCCAGGGCUCAACCUUGGAAAUGCCUUUGAUACUGGCUAUCUUGAGUACGGGAGAGGUGUGUGGAACUCCGAGUGUAGAGGUGAAAUUCGUAGAUAUUCGGAAGAACACCGGUGGCGAGGGCGACACACUGGCCCGUUACUGACGCUGAGGCGCGAAAGCGUGGGGAGCAAACA